RNAcentral lists this ribosomal RNA (369 nucleotides) under uncultured bacterium. RNAcentral's name for it is "bacterial SSU rRNA". It matches the Rfam family "Bacterial small subunit ribosomal RNA", at positions 30 to 412 of the family's 1533-position model. The record is from RNAcentral.
AUUGAACGCUGGCGGCAGGCCUAACACAUGCAAGUCGAGCGGGGUUUUCGGACCUAGCGGCGGACGGGUGAGUAAUGCGUAGGAAGUUACCCGAUAGAGGGGAUACCAGUUGGAAACGACUGUUAAUACCGCAUAAUGUCUACGGACCAAAGUGUGGGACCUUCGGGCCACAUGCUAUCGGAUGCGCCUACGUGGGAUUAGCUAGUUGGUGGGGUAAUGGCUCACCAAGGCGACGAUCCCUAGCUGGUUUGAGAGGAUGAUCAGCCACACUGGAACUGAGACACGGUCCAGACUCCUACGGGAGGCAGCAGUGGGGAAUAUUGGACAAUGGGCGCAAGCCUGAUCCAGCAAUGCCGCGUGCAGGAUGAA